RNAcentral lists this non-coding RNA (21 nucleotides) under Arabidopsis thaliana (thale cress). The record is from RNAcentral. Lineage: Eukaryota; Viridiplantae; Streptophyta; Magnoliopsida; Brassicales; Brassicaceae.
CUCGAUGAGUAGGAGGGCGCG